Molecule: ribosomal RNA, 1377 nt
Filed under: uncultured bacterium
Lineage: Bacteria
Description: 16S ribosomal RNA
Rfam family: Bacterial small subunit ribosomal RNA
Source: RNAcentral
CAAGUCGAGGGGCAACACGAAUGGCAAUAUUUGGUGGCGACCGGCGCACGGGUGCGUAACGCGUAUGCAACCUACCUUUAACUGGAGCAUAGCCCCGAGAANNNNNNNNNNNNNNNNNNNNNNNNNNNNNNNNNNNNNNNNNNNNNNNNNNNNNNNNNNNCGAUUUUUGAUGAACAUGCGUGACAUUAGCUAGAUGGUAAGGUAACGGCUUACCAUGGCUACGAUGUCUAGGGGUUCUGAGAGGAUGAUCCCCCACACUGGUACUGAGACACGGACCAGACUCCUACGGGAGGCAGCAGUGAGGAAUAUUGGUCAAUGGGCGCAAGCCUGAACCAGCCAUCCCGCGUGCAGGAUGACGGCCCUAUGGGUUGUAAACUUCUUUUGUAUGGGAGCAAUAAGGUCUUCGUGAAGACUGAUGAGAGUACCGUAAGAAUAAGGAUCGGCUAACUCCGUGCCAGCAGCCGCGGUAAUACGGAGGAUCCAAGCGUUAUCCGGAUUUACUGGGUUUAAAGGGUGCGUAGGCGGAUUGAUAAGUCAGUGGUGAAAGCCUGCAGCUUAACUGCUGAACUGCCAUGAUACUGUUUUUCUGGAGUAUGGUUGAGGUAGCUGGAAUGUGUCAUGUAGCGGUGAAAUGCUUAGAGAUGACACAGAACACCGACGGCGAAGGCAGGUUACCAACCCAUUACUGACGCUGAGGCACGAAAGCGUGGGGAUCAAACAGGAUUAGAUACCCUGGUAGUCCACGCCGUAAACUAUGAUUACUAGUUGUUGGCGAUACAUUGCCAGUGACUGAGCGAAAGCAUUAAGUAAUCCACCUGGGGAGUACGUUCGCAAGAAUGAAACUCAAAGGAAUUGACGGGGGCCCGCACAAGCGGAGGAGCAUGUGGUUUAAUUCGAUGAUACGCGAGGAACCUUACCUGGGCUCGAACGGUGCAGGAAUAUGGUAGAGAUAUCAUAGCUAGCAAUAGUCUGUAUCGAGGUGCUGCAUGGUUGUCGUCAGCUCGUGCCGUGAGGUGUCGGCUUAAGUGCCAUAACGAGCGCAACCCUUGUCGUUAGUUGCCAUCAAGUAAUGUUGGGGACUCUAGCGAGACUGCCACCGUAAGGUGUGAGGAAGGGGGGGAUGACGUCAAAUCAGCACGGCCCUUAUGUCCAGGGCUACACACGUGCUACAAUGGCCGGUACAAAGGGCAGCAAAGCCGCGAGGUGGAGCCAAUCCCAAAAAGCCGGUCUAGUUCGGAUCGGAGUCUGCAACUCGACUCCGUGAAGUUGGAUUCGCUAGUAAUCGCGCAUCAGCCAUGGCGCGGUGAAUACGUUCCCGGGCCUUGUACACACCGCCCGUCAAACAAUGGAAGCUGGGGGUGCCUGAAGCCCGUGACC